This 77-nucleotide transfer RNA is filed under the name Verrucomicrobiales bacterium. RNAcentral's name for it is "tRNA-Met". It matches the Rfam family "tRNA". Rfam says of the family: Transfer RNA (tRNA) molecules are approximately 80 nucleotides in length. Their secondary structure includes four short double-helical elements and three loops (D, anti-codon, and T loops). The record is from RNAcentral. Lineage: Bacteria; Pseudomonadati; Verrucomicrobiota; Verrucomicrobiia; Verrucomicrobiales.
CGUGGGGUAGAUCAGUCCGGCAGAUCGUCUGGCUCAUAACCAGGAGGCCAUGGGUUCAAAUCCCAUCCCCGCAACCU